GGGGAAUUAGCUCAGUUGGUAGAGCACUAGGAUCGCACCCUAGAGGUCAGGAGUUCGAAUCUCCUAUUCUCCA
RNAcentral lists this transfer RNA (73 nucleotides) under Synechococcales cyanobacterium T60_A2020_003. It matches the Rfam family "tRNA". Rfam says of the family: Transfer RNA (tRNA) molecules are approximately 80 nucleotides in length. Their secondary structure includes four short double-helical elements and three loops (D, anti-codon, and T loops). The record is from Rfam by way of RNAcentral. Lineage: Bacteria; Bacillati; Cyanobacteriota; Cyanophyceae; Synechococcales.